RNAcentral lists this ribosomal RNA (301 nucleotides) under uncultured bacterium. RNAcentral describes it as "partial 16S ribosomal RNA". It matches the Rfam family "Bacterial small subunit ribosomal RNA", at positions 509 to 807 of the family's 1533-position model. The record is from RNAcentral.
CAGUCGCCGCGGGAACACGAAGGGUGCAAGCGUUACUCGGAAUUACUGGGCGUAAAGCGUGCGUAGGUGGUGGUUUAAGUCCGUUGUGAAAGCCCUGGGCUCAACCUGGGAAUUGCAGUGGAUACUGGGUCACUAGAGUGUGGUAGAGGAUAGUGGAAUUUCCGGUGUAGCAGUGAAAUGCGUAGAGAUCGGAAGGAACAUCUGUGGCGAAGGCGACUAUCUGGGCCAACACUGACACUGAGGCACGAAAGCGUGGGGAGCAAACAGGAUUAGAGACCCGCGUAGUCCCUGUCUCUUAUAC